This 1112-nucleotide long non-coding RNA is filed under the name Mytilus galloprovincialis (Mediterranean mussel). The record is from RNAcentral. Lineage: Eukaryota; Metazoa; Mollusca; Bivalvia; Mytilida; Mytilidae.
GUGCUUUAUUCCUUAAGAGUCAAGAUAUUCAUUUACUUAAAAAUCUAUGAAACUGUGUCUUUUAUGACCUCUUGUUGACACAAGUGAUCAUGAACAUUUAAGUCAAAUCUAACAAUUUUAAAAAUGACUGAAACAGCAUGAACAAACUUUGCAGACCCUUUAAAUCAAUAUUAACUUAAUCAUAAGUACAUACCUGCCAACUGUCACUAUUUGCGGGGGAUUUCCCCCAUGGAGGCUCCCAAAUGGAAAUUUUGAAACAGUAAUUUUGUCCACAAUUUUAUACAAAACAAUUAAUUUUACAAUGGCAAAAGGCUUGUAAAAGUAUGAAGAAGCCAAAAAACAACAUUAAAAUAUAUUUGAAGGCCCCUUGAAGGUUUUCUAGGACUGUGGCAGCCAUUUUGCACGUAAAACCCCCAUGGGCAUUUUGAAAAGUUGGCAGGUAUGUAAGUAACCUCUUUUUCAAAAUGUAAAUGAACUAUAAAAGCAUCUUUGCUAGCCAAUGGUAACCAUCCAGUCCCCUUCUAUUCAUCCUUGGCAGAUUUAAAAUAAAAUUUUGGAUCCACAAGGUAAGGACAUUCAUUGGUUACAGUUGUCAUCAGCUGAAUCCAAUCAAAAAGCACUUUUAAAUGACCAUGCGUAAAUGUAUAAAAUGUAAAUAAACACAUGCUGAUUGUGCAACAAGUCUUUACUCCCAAAACAUAUAACAAUAUUUAAAGUCAAAAGUUCUUAAUCAAAUUGUUGGGGUUCCUUGGUAUACUACUAGAGCAAAUUUUGGAAUGUCAAAGUAUGUUUUCAGUUUCUGCUUCACAAAAUUUGUAAACACUACACACUUUAUCAUUUUUACCCUUCAUCAUUGAAGAGAGUUCAAGUGCUGUCAUUGGUCAAGAAUGACGUAGUCCAAAUGGGAGUGACACUACUACCGAUAGAAGGUGCAGCAUUGUAAUCACAAGGUUUACUUAAUCUGCCAAGAGUUGAUAAGAAGGACAGUGAGUGGAUUGUAACCCCUGGCUAGCAAAGAUAACAAAAAGUGAAAUAAUAUAGGGAAUGUGUCAAAGAGAAAUAAAACAGCAGAAGGCCACCAAUAGGUCUUCACCACAGCAAUUAAAUUUCAC